CAACAUUAUGUCCUUGCAAGUAAAAUUACUCUUACUGGAAAUCCAGCAAAAGUGAUCUAAGCUGUCUAUAUUCUUCAAAGUGACCAUAUUCUUUUGUGCUCGUAUUUGGUCCAGUUUUCUAUCCUUUAUCAAAAUUAUCAUUGUAGCGACAACCGAUCCCUAUUGUUCACAUUGACCAAGUUCCUUUGCAUUAGUUUUUUCUCCAUUAGCAUAUAGUUUAACCAUUUAUACAAGGGGAACGCCAGGGUACUCCUGGCACCAUAACCACUACAACGUUCUGUAAAACGCAAAAUGUCAGGGUGACUGUGUGAUCCAACUUUUUUCAGAAUAUUUUACACAUUAUAUAGAAAUUUAAAUAUCCCUCUUUAAUUAAUUGUUG
This is a non-coding RNA of Pelobates cultripes (western spadefoot toad), 379 nucleotides long. Lineage: Eukaryota; Metazoa; Chordata; Amphibia; Anura; Pelobatidae. The record is from the annotation of a GenBank genome assembly.